Molecule: non-coding RNA, 486 nt
Organism: Mustela erminea (ermine)
Lineage: Eukaryota; Metazoa; Chordata; Mammalia; Carnivora; Mustelidae
Source: the annotation of a RefSeq genome assembly
UGGGGAGCCAGCCAGGCCAACGGGAUGCCACUUCUGGAAGCAGUCAUCUUCUCCUGUCUCUGGGCCUUUGGCCUUGGGCAGGUGAAGUUAGAGCAACCUGAAAUAUCAAUUUCCAGAACAAGAGAUGAGAGUGCCCACAUAUUAUGCAAGGUGUCCACUAAGGACUUUACCAAUGCAGUCAUACAUUGGUACUGGCAGAAACCACAUCAGGAGAUAGAACAUCUAGGAUUGGUCCAAGCAAUCUCUAUUCAAGUUUCUUUAGGUGGGAAGAAAAACAAACUUGAAGCAACUAAAAAUGCUAUUACUUCUACUUCAACCUUGAAGGUAAAUUUCUUACAGCAAGAAGAUGAGGCCAUGUACUACUGUGCCUGCUGGAGGGGAACCACAGCAUCAGAGUUGUUAGGCAAAGCUACCCAAGAACCAUCUUCAGAUCUGACCCACCCACAUCCUUCUCAAUAUGGGCAACCACAAAGGCUGCAUAGCUGA